This 406-nucleotide ribosomal RNA is filed under the name uncultured bacterium. RNAcentral's name for it is "partial 16S ribosomal RNA". It matches the Rfam family "Bacterial small subunit ribosomal RNA", at positions 30 to 526 of the family's 1533-position model. The record is from RNAcentral.
AUUGAACGCUGGCGGCAGGCCUAACACAUGCAAGUCGAACGAGUGGCGGACGGGUGAGUAAUGUCUGGGAAACUGCCCGAUGGAGGGGGAUAACUACUGGAAACGGUAGCUAAUACCGCAUACCAUCGGAUGUGCCCAGAUGGGAUUAGCUUGUAGGUGAGGUAACGGCUCACCUAGGCGACGAUCCCUAGCUGGUUUGAGAGGAUGACCAGCCAAAAUGGAACUGAGACACGGUCCAAACGCCUACGGGAGGGAGCAGUGGGGAAUUUUUGACAAUGGGGGAAAGCCUGAUUGAGCCCUUCCGAGUUGAGGAAGAAGGCCUUCGGGUUGGAAAGUACUUUUGGCGGGGAAGCGUUACCCGCAGAAGAAGCACCGGCUAACUCCGUGCCAGCAGCCGCGGUAAUUC